This 795-nucleotide ribosomal RNA is filed under the name uncultured archaeon. RNAcentral's name for it is "bacterial SSU rRNA". It matches the Rfam family "Archaeal small subunit ribosomal RNA", at positions 1 to 777 of the family's 1478-position model. The record is from RNAcentral.
UUCCGGUUGAUCCUGCCGGACCCCACUGCUAUCGAGAUGGGACUAAGGUAUGCUAGUCGAACGACCAGAACUAUGUCUGGAAGUGGCACACUGCUCAGUAACACGUAGCUAACCUACCCUUAGGACGUGGAUACCCCCGAGAAAUUGGGGUUAAUCCGCGAUAGGUGUAAUGUCCUGGAAUGGUAUUACGCCUAAAGGUGUAUCAUACAUGUUUGAUAUACGCCUAAGGAUGGGGCUGCGGCCGAUCAGGCUGUUGGUGAGGUAAUGGCUCACCAAACCUUUGACCGGUACGGGCCAUGAGAGUGGUAGCCCGGAGAUGGACACUGAGACAAGGGUCCAGGCCCUAAGGGGCGCAGCAACCGCGAAACCUCCACAAUGCACUCACGUGCGAUGGGGCUAUCUCGAGUGCCACCUGAUGAAGGUGGCUUUUCCUAGGUCUUCAAAGCCUUGGGAAUAAGAGGGGGGCAAGACUGGUGUCAGCCGCCGCGGUAACACCAGCCCCUCGAGUGGUGGGGAUGAUUAUUUGGCCUAAAGCGUCCGUAGCCGGCCGAGCAAGUCUUCCGUUAAAUCCAGCGUCUCAAGCGUUGGACUGCGGGAGAUACUACAUGGCUAGAGAGUGGGAGAGGUCAGCGGUAUUCUGGGGGUAGGGGCGAAAUCCUUUGAUCCCCGGAGGACCACCAGUGGCGAAGGCUGCUGACUAGAACACGUCUGACGGUCAGGGACGAAAGCUGGGGUAGCGAACCGGAUUAGAUACCCGGGUAGUCCCAGCCGUAAACGAUGCAUGCUAGGUGUUGG